AUGCUCCUGCUGCUCAUCCCAGUGCUUGAGAUGAUUUUUGCCCUGAGAGGCUCAGGAGCCCAGUCGGUGACCCAGCCCGACGCCCAAGUCUCUGUCCCUGAAGGAUCCUCGCUGGAGCUGAAGUGCAACUACUCCAUUUCUGUUCCACCAUACCUCUUCUGGUACGUCCAGUACCCCAACCAAGGCCUGCAGCUUAUCCUUAAAUACACAUCUGGAAAGAGCAGUGUUUCAGGCAUCAAAGGUUUUAAUGCUGAAUUUGAAAAGGAAAAAACCUCUUUCCACCUGAGGAAGCCCACUGGAGUGACUCAGCCCAGUACUUCUGUGCUGUGAGUGGCACAGUGCCUGGGGCUGCAGGGGGAGCUGAGCACAAACCUGCUGAGAUCCUGGGGCUUUCUCUGACUUAG
Talpa occidentalis (Iberian mole) is the source of this 404-nucleotide non-coding RNA. The record is from the annotation of a RefSeq genome assembly. Lineage: Eukaryota; Metazoa; Chordata; Mammalia; Eulipotyphla; Talpidae.